Molecule: long non-coding RNA, 292 nt
Organism: Varanus komodoensis (Komodo dragon)
Lineage: Eukaryota; Metazoa; Chordata; Lepidosauria; Squamata; Varanidae
Exons: 3
Source: RefSeq, a predicted model, not a curated record
CAAUAAUGGAAGCUGUCUGAGCAGUUUACAAUAGCACAAAAAUAUAAAAAUACAAAUAGUUAAAACAUCAUACAAUUUUAAUAUAAAAUUUAAAAGUCAAAUUUAAGUCCAAAUUUAAGUAGAUACAAUAGCUAAAACAAAUUAAAUGACAAAACCAGUUAGACAGGUGAUGCAAUGCCCCAAUGUGUUAUUCAGAACUGAUUAAAUAUACUUGCAUAGAAGACAGUCUUAACUUGGUGCUGGAAAGAGGGCACAGUUGAUGCCAGGUGGAUCUCAAACCUUAUACAGCCUU